GAUGAACGCUGGCGGCGUGCCUAACACAUGCAAGUCGAGCGAACAGACGAGGAGCUUGCGCUUCUGACGUUAGCGGCUGGCGGGUGAGUAACGCGUGGAUAACCUACCUCUUUUACGUGGAUAACUUCGGGAAACAGGAGAUAAUAAUAGAGAAUACAUCCAACCGCAUGGUUCAAUAGAGAUUCACGGUUUUGCUGUCACUUAUAGAUGGAUCCGCGUCGCAUUAGCUAGUUGGUAAGGUAACGGCUUACCAAGGCAACGAUGCGUAGCCGACCUGAGAGGGUGAUCGGCCACACUGGAACUGAGACACGGUCCAGACUCCUACGGGAGGCAGCAGUAGGGAAUCUUGGGCAAUGGGCGCAAGCCUGACGCAGCAACGCCGCGUGAGUGAUGAAGGUCUUCGGGUCGUAAAACUCUGUUAUUGGGGAAGAAAAAAUGUGUAAGUAACUACGCCCGUCUUGACGGUACCUAAUCAAAAAGCCACGGCUAACUACGUG
RNAcentral lists this ribosomal RNA (497 nucleotides) under uncultured bacterium. RNAcentral's name for it is "partial 16S ribosomal RNA". It matches the Rfam family "Bacterial small subunit ribosomal RNA", at positions 28 to 507 of the family's 1533-position model. The record is from RNAcentral.